AGCCCUGAGGUGAUAUACCACAUUGAAUUGCAAAUUCAGAGAAGCAGCUUCAAUUCUGCCGGGGCUU
This 67-nucleotide transfer RNA is filed under the name Plecturocebus cupreus (coppery titi). Its description in RNAcentral is "tRNA-Cys". It matches the Rfam family "tRNA". Rfam says of the family: Transfer RNA (tRNA) molecules are approximately 80 nucleotides in length. Their secondary structure includes four short double-helical elements and three loops (D, anti-codon, and T loops). Lineage: Eukaryota; Metazoa; Chordata; Mammalia; Primates; Pitheciidae. The record is from RNAcentral.